UACAGAGGGCUCAAGCGUUGUUCGGAUUCAUUGGGCGUAAAGGGCGCGUAGGCGGCUUGGCAAGUGGAAGGUGAAAUCCCUCGGCUUAACCGAGGAACUGCCCUCCAAACUGCUUUGCUUGAGGCCGGGAGAGGUGAGUGGAAUUCCCAGUGUAGCGGUGAAAUGCGUAGAUAUUGGGAGGAACACCAGUGGCGAAGGCGGCUCACUGGACCGGUUCUGACGCUGAGGCGCGAAAGCGUGGGGAGCAAACAGG
Molecule: ribosomal RNA, 253 nt
Filed under: uncultured bacterium
Lineage: Bacteria
Description: partial 16S ribosomal RNA
Rfam family: Bacterial small subunit ribosomal RNA
Source: RNAcentral